UGAAAAGCAUUUGUGAAACAACCUGAGUGCAGGCUCCGUUUAGAUUGUUCUUCUUUUUUCUGUGGUUCUUUUCCCUGUGUGUGCUGGUUAUCUACUGCUACGUAAAAAAUCCCUUCAGUACUUAGUGCUUGGAAGCAAUGAGAAUCGUUCAUUCUGUCUCAGUGUCUGCGACCAGCAAUUCAGGAGCAACUGGAUUAUUCACGUGUUGACUGGAAAAAAAAAAAAACCUGAAAGCUUCAGCUUAUGUUUUAUUUGGGGAACUUACUAAGGACCAUAGCCCGGGAGACAGCCUCUCAGAGAAUUCUGAAGGAUGGUGCCAAAGAGGGCCAGUAUCCUAUUUUUCUCCAUCCCGAAUUCCCACCAGCGUGCACCGUCGGCUGAUGGCUUGAUGGAGGUAAUGUUCUUUUUAUUUUCAAUUAAUUAAUUAAUUUAUUUUUGGCUGCAUUGGGUCUUCGUUUCUGCGCGCGGGCUUUCUCUGGUUGCGGCAAACGGGGGCUACUCUUCGUUGCGGUGUGUGGGCUUCUCAUUGUCAUGGCUUCUCUUGUUGCGGAGCAUGGGCUCUACGCGCGUGGGCUUCAGUAGUUGUGGCACACAGGCUCAGUAGUUGUGGCACACGGGCUUAGUUGCUCCACGGCAUGUGGGAUCUUCCCAGACCAGAGCUCGAACCUGUGUCCCCUGCAUUCGCAGGCAGAUUCUUAACCACUGAGCCACCAGGGAAGUCCCAAGGUAACGUUCUUUGUUAACUGAAAUGGCAGGCAACGUGUUUUUCAUCCACACAGGUCUGCUCAAGUUUUCUCAUGAGGCUGCUGCCAGACGGCGGCCAGGGCUGCCCUCGCGAGAAGGUUCGGGGUGCUGCAGGGUCCACGUCCGCAUCUGCUCCCUCACGGGGCUGGUGCCGGCUGGCGGUAGGAGGCCUCACCUCCUCUCCGUGUGGGCCUCUCCAAGAGGCUUGCGUGUCCUUAUGGUGUGACGGCUUCCUCCAGAACAACUGACCCAAGGGAGCCAGGCAGAAGCUGCAAUACCUUCUGUGACCUCACCUCAGAAGGCACUGAGUGUCACACCGCAGUCUCUCGGCCUCACGCAGCAGUAUUGAUUCAGCGUGGGGGAGGCUUACAGAAGGUGUGAACGGCAAGGGGCCUCCUGGAGACUGGCUACGGCACCAAGCUUAAUUCAACAGCAAUCUAUUUAAGGCAACUCACCUAGAAUUAAUCAUUCUCAAAGCAUUUAAUUUAGCAUUCAGAGAAACAACUCUUUAAAUCCACAUUUUAUCAUUUUAUGUAUGCUUAAUAACAAGCAUAACUGACAUAAGCGGAUUUGGGGAUGUAACAGACUGACGGGGGGACAGGUACAAACGGCCGUAGCAGCCCGAUGACGCAGGCACACCAGGGAGGUGCUGCCCACUGGAGAUGCUGCCAGUGGGCAUCACCUGGAGCUGCAGGGCAUCAGUUAAAUGGAGCCUAAUGUACUGUCAGGUGCCCCCGGACCCUUCGAGAGGGUUGAAGAGUCUGUGUGCCCAGGCCCACUCUUCAUUUCUUCCAUGAACCUAGGAGCUGUAGAAAGUGUGUAUUUGGUUUAAGAAAAGUUUAGUUCCCUCCAAUAAGCAUUCCCUGAAUACCUAGACAUCCAGGCACUGAUGGUGAGAUGAAUUCCUCUGCAGGGACGUCACCAUCCACAGCAGGAGAUGUCAAGGUAAAGAAAGCAUGUCAACAUGGUGCUCGCUGGCACGGAGGGCAUCGGGGAGGCGGGAGAGCAUAGGGGGUAUGUUAGUCUCCUGGGGCUGCCAUGGCAAAUGGGGGGGAGCCUAAUCAACAGAAAUGGAGGCCAGAGGUCUGAGAUGAAGGUGUCGGUGGGGGUGCAUUCUCCCGAGUGUCCCCCUUUGGCUUGUAGUUGGCCGUCUUCUCCCCGUGUCCUCAUGGGGUCGUCCCUCUGUCUGAGUUCUCUGUGACCUCAUCUUCUCUUCUUAUAAGGACACCAAUCAUGUUGGAUUGGGGCCCAUUCACACAACCUCAUUUCACUCUUUCAGGCCCUUUCUCCAAAUACAGUCACGUUCUGAGUUACUGGGGGUUAGGACUUGACAGUAUGAAUUUGGAAGGGACACGAUUCAACCCUACCAGGGAGGGAAGGGCAUCCACUCCAAACUGGGAGCCUCAAAUGGGCUCUGAGAGCAGGCACUGCCUCAGCUGUGUCCUGACAGAUGCGUAGGGGCUUUCCUGGCAAAGAGGGGGCGGGCUGGGGACAUGAGCUCUGCGUGGACAGUAGGAGGGGAGGGGGGCCACAGCCACUCAGUGGGGAGUGUGGGGUUGAGCAGGAGAAGCCCUCUUUAUUUUAUUUUAUUUUUUUUAUAUUAUUUUUUUGGGCCGCACCCCGUGGCACACGGAACUUCCCUGACCAGGGAUCAAACCCACAGCCCCUGUGGAGUCUUAACCACUGGACUGCCAGGGAAGUCCGUUUUUUUUUGUUGUUGUUGUUGGUUUUAAGCCCUCCUUAUUUUAGACUGGGUCCCUGGACCCCCUCCCCCCAGCCCUACCUUCUCCUUCUCGGGGCUCAGCUCUGGGGAAAGAGGGCUGAGGGUCCCCCACUCAGAGCCCAGCCUGAACCAGUGCUGCCACUGUUGCCUGGAGGGAGUCUCUGGUGUGUAAUGUGGCCUUGAGCGUGGAAAGUUAACUCAGUUGGAAAGAGUAAAAGGAAGCUGGAAAAAAAAAUGUUAACUCAACCACAGGCAUGAUAAAGAGAUGGUGAGGUCACUAAGGCUUUUGGAAAAUAUGAAUCUGCCCGACAGUCUGAAGGAAAAAGAGAAAAGCAGGGCCAGGCGAGUCCCUCCCCUGCCUGUGUGUGCAGCCCAGGGGGCGUGUGUGGUCUGGCCCUGCGGGACGCUGUCCUCCUUGGAAGGAACCUUCCCCAUCCGGCUGUGGUCUCCUCGGGCCAGCUUUGCUGCAGUUGGGCGUUUGACUCCAAUUCCUGGGAAGGAGAAGGCAGGUCAUACAUGAUCCUUCUGACCUAAGUCUCACAACGGAAGGAAGUGCUCCCAGGAAGCAGAGGGAGUGUAGGGACACACACACACACACACACACACACACACUCUUCCCACUCAGCGGGAUACCAGGUUUGCAAUAUCUGGUUUGGGGUGUUUUGGGCAGGGCUGGCCCGAUAAGGCUCCUGGCUGGCCUGAGGAAGCGGAGUGGUACCAGGUGGAGCCAGGCAGCCUUGAGGGCUUGGUCCCUGGGCACCUUCCU
Orcinus orca (killer whale) is the source of this 3233-nucleotide long non-coding RNA. RefSeq lists it as uncharacterized. The transcript is spliced from 2 exons. NCBI's taxonomy places the organism in Eukaryota, Metazoa, Chordata, Mammalia, Artiodactyla, Delphinidae. The record is from RefSeq and is a predicted model, not a curated record.